UACGUAGGGUGCAAGCGUUGUCCGGAAUUAUUGGGCGUAAAGAGCUCGUAGGCGGUUUGUCGAGUCGAAUGUGAAAACCCGGGGCUCAACUCCGGGCCUGCAUUCGAUACGGGCAGACUAGAGUUCGGUAGGGGAGACUGGAAUUCCUGGUGUAGCGGUGAAAUGCGCAGAUAUCAGGAGGAACACCAGUGGGAAGGCGGGUCUCUGGGCCGAUACUGACGCUGAGGAGCGAAAGCGUGGGGAGCGAACAGG
RNAcentral lists this ribosomal RNA (252 nucleotides) under uncultured bacterium. RNAcentral describes it as "partial 16S ribosomal RNA". It matches the Rfam family "Bacterial small subunit ribosomal RNA", at positions 524 to 776 of the family's 1533-position model. The record is from RNAcentral.